GAUGAAGAACGUAGCGAAAUGCGAUACGUAAUGUGAAUUGCAGAAUUCAGUGAAUCAUCGAGUCUUUGAACGCACAUUGCGCCCCCUGGUAUUCCGGGGGGCAUGCCUGUCCGAGCGUCAUUGCUGCCCUCAAGCACGGCUUGUGUGUUGGGCCUCCGUCCUCCUCCCGGGGGACGGGCCCGAAAGGCAGCGGCGGCACCGCGUCCGGUCCUCGAGCGUAUGGGCUUCGUCACCCGCUCUUGUAGGCCCGGCCGGCGCUUGCCGACACAUCAAUCUUUUUUCCAGGUUGACCUCGGAUCAGGUAGGGAUACCCGCUGAACUUAAGCAUAUCAAUAAGCGGAGGA
This 344-nucleotide unclassified non-coding RNA is filed under the name soil metagenome. RNAcentral describes it as "partial contains 5.8S ribosomal RNA, internal transcribed spacer 2, and large subunit ribosomal RNA". The stretch from base 1 to 120 matches the Rfam family "5.8S ribosomal RNA", at positions 35 to 154 of the family's 154-position model. The record is from RNAcentral.